CCUGGUUGAUCCUGCCAGUAGUCAUAUGCUUGUCUCAAAGAUUAAGCCAUGCAUGUGUAAGUAUAAAGUAAUUCAGACUGUGAAACUGCUAAUGGCUCAUUAAAUCAGUUAUAGUUUGUUUGAUGGUAUCUACUAGUCGGAUAACCGUAGUAAUUCUAAAGCUAAUACAUGCAACAAACCCCGACCUCUAGAAGGGAUGCAUGUAUUAGAUAAAAGGUCGAUGCGAGCUAUGCCAUUGCUCUGAUGAUUCAUGAUAACUCGAUGAAUCGCACGACCUUUGUGUCAAUGACGCAUCAUUCAAAUUUUUGCCCUAUCAACUUUCGAUGAUAGGAUAGUGGCCUACUAUGGUGGUGACGGGUGACGGAGAAUUAGGGUUCGAUUUCGAAGAGGGAGCUUGAGAAAUGGCUACCACAUCCAAGGAAGGUAACAGGUGCACAAAUUACCCAUUCCUGACACGGGGAGGUAGUGACAAUAAAUAACAAUAUCGGGCUCUAUGAGUCUGGUAAUUAGAAUGAGUACAAUCUAAAUCCCUUAAUGAGGAUCCAUUGGAGGGCAAGUCUGGUGCUAGCAGCCGUGAUAAUUUCAGCUCCAAUAGCACAUAUUUAAGUUGUUGCUGUUAAAAGGCUCGUAGUUGGAACUAGGGUUGGGUCGUCCGGUCCACCUCACGGUGAGCACCAGUCUACUCGUCCCUACUAUCGACAAUGCACUUUUAGACUUAAUUAUUAGGGUAAUUCCACCAGUGCUGUUACUUUGAAAAAAUUAGAGUGCUCAAAGCAGGCCUACGCUUGUAUACAUUAGCAUGGGAUAACAUCAUAGGAUUUCGAUCCUAUUGUGUUAGCCUUCGGGAUCAAAGUAAUGAUUAACAGGGAUAGUCAGGGGCAUUCAUAUUUCAUAGUUAGAGGUGAAAUUCUUAGAUUUAUGAAAGACGAACAACUAUGAAAGCAUUUGCCAAGGAUGUUUUCAUUAAUCAAGAAUGAAAGUUAGGGGCUCGAAGAUGAUUAGAUACCAUCCUAGUCUCAACCAUAAACAAUGUCGACCAGGGAUCGACGGAUGUUACUUUUAGGACUCCGUCGGCACCUUAUGAAAAAUAAAAGUCUUUGGGUUCCAGGGGAAGUAUGGUCGCAAGGUUGAAACUUAAAGGAAUUAAUGCAAGGGCACCACCAGGAGUGGAGCCUGCGGCUUAAUUUGACUCAACACAGGGAAACUUACCAGGUCCAGACAUAGUAAGGAUUGACAGACUGAGAGCUGUUUCUUAAUUCUAUGAGUUGUGGUGCAUGGCCGUUCUUUGUUGGUGGAGUGAUUUGUCUGGUUAAUUUCGUUAACGAAUGAAACCUCAGCCUGCUAUCUAGCUAUGCAGAGGUGAUCCUUUAUGGCUAGCUUCUUAGAGGGACUAUGGCCACUUAGGCCAAGGAAGUUUGAGGCAAUAACAGGUCUGUGAUGCCCUUAGAUGUUCUAGGCCACACGUAUGCUACACUGAUGUAUUCAAUGAGUCUAUAGCCUUGGUCGACAAGCCCCAGGUAAUCUUUGAAAUUUCAUCAUGAUUGGGACAGAUCAUUGCAAUUGUUGGUCUUCAAUGAGGAAUUCCUAGUAAGCGCGAGUCAUCAGCUCAUGUUGACUACGUCCCUGCCCUUUGUACACACCGCCCGUCAUUCCUACCAAUUGAGUGGUCCGAUGAAGUGUUUGCAUCACAACGACGUGGAUGGUUCGCUGCCUAUGACAUCGCGAAAAGUCCACUGAACCUUAUCAUUUAGAGAAAGGAGAAUUCGUAACAAGGUUUUCGUAGGUGAAGUUACGGAAG
RNAcentral lists this ribosomal RNA (1798 nucleotides) under Durio zibethinus. RNAcentral describes it as "SSU rRNA". It matches the Rfam family "Eukaryotic small subunit ribosomal RNA". Lineage: Eukaryota; Viridiplantae; Streptophyta; Magnoliopsida; Malvales; Malvaceae. The record is from RNAcentral.